GAUGAACGCUGGCGGCGUGCCUAAUACAUGCAAGUCGAGCGAACGGACGAGAAGCUUGCUUCUCUGAUGUUAGCGGCGGACGGGUGAGUAACACGUGGAUAACCUACCUAUAAGACUGGGAUAACUUCGGGAAACCGUAGCUAAUACCGGAUAAUAUUUUGAACCGCAUGGUUCAAAAGUGAAAGGCGGUCUUGCUGUCACUUAUAGAUGGAUCCGCGCUGGAUUAGCUAGUUGGUAAGGUAACGGCUUACCAAGGCAACGAUGCAUAGCCGACCUGAGAGGGUGAUCGGCCACACUGGAACUGAGACACGGUCCAGACUCCUACGGGAGGCAGCAGUAGGGAAUCUUCCGCAAUGGGCGCAAGCCUGACGGAGCCACGCCGCGUGAGUGAUGAAGGUCUUCGGAUCGUAAAACUCUGUUAUUAGGGAAGAACAUAUGUGUACGUAACUGUGCACAUCUUGACGGUACCUAAUCAGAAAGCCCCGGCUAACUACGUG
RNAcentral lists this ribosomal RNA (497 nucleotides) under uncultured bacterium. Its description in RNAcentral is "partial 16S ribosomal RNA". It matches the Rfam family "Bacterial small subunit ribosomal RNA", at positions 28 to 507 of the family's 1533-position model. The record is from RNAcentral.